Molecule: ribosomal RNA, 249 nt
Filed under: uncultured bacterium
Lineage: Bacteria
Description: partial 16S ribosomal RNA
Rfam family: Bacterial small subunit ribosomal RNA
Source: RNAcentral
UACAGAGGGUGCGAGCGUUGUUCGGAAUUAUUGGGCGUAAAGCGCUUGUAGGCGGCACGUCAAGUCGCGUGUGAAAUCCCCAGGCUUAACCUGGGAAGUGCGCGCGAAACUGACGAGCUUGAGUGCCGGAGAGGGUCGCGGAAUUCCCGGUGUAGAGGUGAAAUUCGUAGAUAUCGGGAGGAACACCAGUGGCGAAGGCGGCGACCUGGACGGACACUGACGCUGAGACGCGAAAGCGUGGGGAGCAAC